UUACUGGCUCUAGGACUUGUUAUAACUGGAAUAGCCAUCACAAUUACUGCACAAAUGAAGUUCUAUCUUAAAAGUCCAAUGCUGAUGUCACUUAAUGGGGAAAUAACGCCAACUUGGGACAUACCUUUUCCGGCCAUCUCAGUCUGUAGCCAGAAACAGAUAAGACCUUCUAUACCGUAAUCAACUUAACCCAACUUAUCAACAAGAAAAAUCCAACCAUGGAAGAACUGCCGUUCAUAAUCCAGCUGAGUUUCCAACCCCCUUACAAACAUUUGCCUACAUCGUAACUGACGCAACCAUUGAAUUCAAGAUAACUCCACAGCUAAUAAGCACUUCGGAUAAUCUUAGACUUUGGACGCCGGAGGAAAGAGGUUGUUACUAUAGUCAUGAGCGUAAACUGAAGUUCUACGUCACGUACACUAUCCAUAAUUGUGACAUUGAAUGU
RNAcentral lists this unclassified non-coding RNA (445 nucleotides) under Nilaparvata lugens (brown planthopper). Its description in RNAcentral is "pickpocket protein 28-like, transcript variant X1". The record is from RNAcentral. Lineage: Eukaryota; Metazoa; Arthropoda; Insecta; Hemiptera; Delphacidae.